Molecule: unclassified non-coding RNA, 674 nt
Filed under: Hevea brasiliensis (rubber tree)
Lineage: Eukaryota; Viridiplantae; Streptophyta; Magnoliopsida; Malpighiales; Euphorbiaceae
Source: RNAcentral
CUUUUACUAGUAGCUACUAAAAAGUUGCUCUACGAUGUUGACUACAAAAACAUGUUUUAGCCUUUUAGGCAAAAGUGAAUGCUAAAAUAAAAGGGUGGAAAUGAACGAAAUCAACUAAUGAUUAAAAGGACCAUGGAUACUUUCUAUACUAAGGAGCUCUCUUAUGGACCAAGAAGCAGACAGAAAGAAAUUGGAGUAAAAAGAGUAAACUGUAAACGUCAGUGCCAGGCACUGUUAAUUGCUUUCCAUUCUAUAUCCAUUUCAGGAUUUGAUAAUCAAUUUAAAAAUGCAGGUUCACAAAAGAAUGAGGCAUCAUUAAGAAAAGUAGAGUUUAGCAACCAAUCAGGAAAGCAAAGAAAAUUAUACUUUAGGAGGAUACGGUGUUGAAGCACCAAGCAUACGUCCAAAAACAGUACAUCAACAGUUGCUUGCUGGCCAUGGAUAGGGGUUCUCACCAAGACAGCAAAUCCAACGUAAGUGACAAACAAAGAAUUGCUCACAAAUUUCAAUAAUUCAUUAAGCACACAAGUUGAAAGCGUUCAUGCUAUAAUUACAAUAAUAAACAAGAAGCUAUGUUUCUAAUCCUACCCAGUGCCAUAAGAAAAAUCUAAAUUUGCAUGAAAGGAAAUGCAGAAGUAAUCAUUUUGGCAUACCUUGCGUGGAAAAGAAUUGUU